AAGUUCACAAUAACGAUAUGAGAAAACACCAAACCUAGCGGAUUAAAGUAAAACUUGUUUUGCCCAUAGUGUGAGGAUACUUAAACUUUUUCCUGUUUUAUUUGUUAGUCUUGGAGGUAUCCUGCAAAUCAAUAUUUAUGAAUAAGUUUUUAAUAAAAAUAUUGAGGUAGUAAAGGUUUGAACACACAGAAUUGGAUGUCUUUUAUUGAAAGAAAGAACAACGUAAAAAGGAAGGUCAGGCGUGAUAAAUUCAAUAAUAAAUGCAUGCUAACAAUAAUAUAACAGUUCUCCAUAUUGAUAUCAUACCUUAGCUUCUUCUAAAUUCCAAUACACAAGGAGAUCCU
This 344-nucleotide long non-coding RNA is filed under the name Capsicum annuum. RNAcentral describes it as "long non-coding RNA (CANN_LNC006862)". The record is from RNAcentral. Lineage: Eukaryota; Viridiplantae; Streptophyta; Magnoliopsida; Solanales; Solanaceae.